RNAcentral lists this ribosomal RNA (449 nucleotides) under uncultured bacterium. Its description in RNAcentral is "partial 16S ribosomal RNA". It matches the Rfam family "Bacterial small subunit ribosomal RNA", at positions 29 to 523 of the family's 1533-position model. The record is from RNAcentral.
AACGAACGCUGGCGGCAUGCCUAACACAUGCAAGUCGAACGAGAUCUUCGGGUCUAGUGGCGCACGGGUGCGUAACGCGUGGGAAUGUGCCCUUUGGUUGGGACUACCAGUUGGAAACGACUGCUAAUACCGGAUGAUGACGAAAGUCCAAAGAUUUAUCGCCAGAGGAUGAGCCCGCGUAGGAUUAGCUAGUUGGUGUGGUGAAGGCGCACCAAGGCGACGAUCCUUAGCUGGUCUGAGAGGAUGAUCAGCCACACUGGGACUUAGACACGGCCCAGACUCCUACGGGAGGCAGCAGUGGGGAAUAUUGGACAAUUGGCGAAAGCCUGAUCCAGCAAUGCCGCGUGAGUGAUGAAGGCCUUAGGGUUGUAAAGCUCUUUUACCCGGGAUGAUAAUGACAGUACCGGGAGAAUAAGCUCCGGCUAACUCCGUGCCAGCCGCCGCCGUAA